This 613-nucleotide ribosomal RNA is filed under the name uncultured bacterium. Its description in RNAcentral is "bacterial SSU rRNA". It matches the Rfam family "Bacterial small subunit ribosomal RNA", at positions 202 to 814 of the family's 1533-position model. The record is from RNAcentral.
CAAAGGUUAAUUCCGGUGGCGGAUGGGCAUGCGUCGCAUUAGUUAGUUGGCGGUGUAACGGACCACCAAGACGACGAUGCGUAGGGGUUCUGAGAGGAAGGUCCCCCACACUGGUACUGAGACACGGACCAGACUCCUACGGGAGGCAGCAGUGAGGAAUAUUGGUCAAUGGGCGGGAGCCUGAACCAGCCAAGUCGCGUGAGGGAUGACGGCCCUAUGGGUUGUAAACCUCUUUUGCCGGGGAGCAAAGUGCCGCACGUGUGCGGUUUGGAGAGUACCCGGAGAAAAAGCAUCGGCUAACUCCGUGCCAGCAGCCGCGGUAAUACGGAGGAUGCGAGCGUUAUCCGGAUUUAUUGGGUUUAAAGGGUGCGUAGGCGGACGCUUAAGUCAGCGGUAAAAUUGCGGGGCUCAACCUCGUCGAGCCGUUGAAACUGGGUGCCUUGAGUGGGCGAGAAGUACGCGGAAUGCGUGGUGUAGCGGUGAAAUGCAUAGAUAUCACGCAGAACUUCGAUUGCGAAGGCAGCGUACCGGCGCCCAACUGACGCUGAAGCACGAAGGCGUGGGUAUCGAACAGGAUUAGAUACCCUGGUAGUCCACGCAGUAAACGAUGAAU